RNAcentral lists this long non-coding RNA (662 nucleotides) under Homo sapiens (human). RNAcentral describes it as "long non-coding RNA NONHSAT245184". Lineage: Eukaryota; Metazoa; Chordata; Mammalia; Primates; Hominidae. The record is from RNAcentral.
AGGUGGGGAGAUAUCUGAAGCUAGACUGGGGAUCCCCUCCCAAACGGGAUCCUGGGGACUGGCAGACAGCUCAGCUGCCCCCCACUCUCCAUCAUCCCCAGGGCUCCACCGCAGCCCUGCUCCUCUGUCCUGUGUCCAGCCACCCUGGAAGAGAUGGGGGUGGAGUGCAAGGGACUUCAGUGCAGGGAGGGGCUGCAGGGAGGAGGAGGCGAGGUGGGUUUGAGGCCAGAAGACGGAGGGAGAUGGGGAAGAAGAGGGGCACCCAGAGCAGCCGACAGCAAACCUAGUGAGCAGUGACAAUCAAAACAGGGGCGGUUCACUGAAACUUCUGUGUGUCUGCUGGCUUCACACACUUUAUCUGGCUUAAUCUUCACUAGUAUUAUUCUUAAAUUUUAGUUUUGUAAAUGUUUGUAUUUUAUUUUGUUUAUUAGCUGGAAUUGCUAAUGCAUUUACACAUUUGAAUAUUUAAGAGGUGUGUGCAAUACUGAGUCUCCAUCUCCCCCGGCUCAUUCCCCAGGGACCAGGCUCCCUCCCUGGAGGCAGCCAGCUUCGCCAGCGACUUCCCUCCUCUUCCAGGCUGUCUGCGCAGACAAGCAAACAUAUGCAUAGAAAAGCAAAUAUAUACACAUACAUUUCCCACUUUUUAACCCAUUAAAGGCUGG